Non-coding RNA from Dufourea novaeangliae, 45 nucleotides. NCBI's taxonomy places the organism in Eukaryota, Metazoa, Arthropoda, Insecta, Hymenoptera, Halictidae. The record is from Rfam.
UAAACGGCCCUUUUCAGGGCCACCAAUUUUUGUAUACAUGGGAAU